AUAAUGAUACUUCCGUCCCUUUUCUUUGGGGCGGCUCGGAGCGAUCCUCGGAGGGGUGAGAGUCCCAUGA
This 70-nucleotide non-coding RNA is filed under the name unclassified sequences. Its description in RNAcentral is "pemK RNA". It matches the Rfam family "pemK RNA". RNAcentral also lists the same sequence under 1 other name. The record is from RNAcentral.